GAUGAACGCUGGCGGCGUGCCUAAUACAUGCAAGUCGAACGAAACUUCUUUAUCACCGAGUGCCUGCACUCACCGAUAAAGAGUUGAGUGGCGAACGGGUGAGUAACACGUGGGCAACCUGCCCAAAAGAGGGGGAUAACACUUGGAAACAGGUGCUAAUACCGCAUAACCAUAGUUACCGCAUGGUAACUAUGUAAAAGGUGGCUCUACUACCGCUUUUGGAUGGGCCCGCGGCGCAUUAGCUAGUUGGUAGGGUAAAGGCUUACCAAGGCAAUGAUGCGUAGCCGAAAUGAGAGGUUGAUCGGCCACAUUGGGACUGAGACACGGCCCAAACUCCUACGGGAGGCAGCAGUAGGGAAUCUUCCACGAUGGGCGAAAGCCUGAUGGAGCAACGCCGCGUGGGUGAAGAAGGUCUUCGGAUCGUAAAACCCUGUUGUUAGAGAAGAAAGUGCGUGAGAGUAACUGUUCACGUUUCGACGGUAUCUAACCAGAAAGCCACGGCUAACUACGUG
RNAcentral lists this ribosomal RNA (512 nucleotides) under uncultured bacterium. RNAcentral describes it as "partial 16S ribosomal RNA". It matches the Rfam family "Bacterial small subunit ribosomal RNA", at positions 28 to 507 of the family's 1533-position model. The record is from RNAcentral.